This 551-nucleotide long non-coding RNA is filed under the name Helianthus annuus (common sunflower). RNAcentral's name for it is "hypothetical non coding rna". The record is from RNAcentral. Lineage: Eukaryota; Viridiplantae; Streptophyta; Magnoliopsida; Asterales; Asteraceae.
AUGACGAACCUCGAGUGGGCUAAACCUUGCUCGGGCUUCGUAUACUGGAUAGUUCGGUCUAGGAAAGAGGAAGAUCUUUUGACAAAAGCUCAGCAAUUGCACUGUUAAUGUACAAAUUCAAUAAUUUUUGCAUCUCAGCAACCAGAAAUAUAUAAGUUUUAAAUCAAGAUCUUGCAAAACCAAAACUAAAAAAAACCAACUUGGUCGGAUUUUGGUUGCAAAUGGUUUGGUUGGCAACAGUGGCGAAGCUUGAAAUUUUUUACGGGGUGUCGAAAACGUAUAUACCCAAAAAAUUUCCAUAAAACCCGGGGGUCGAAAACAUAUAUACCCAAAAAUUUCUAUACGAAUAACAUUACUGGCCGAAAAGUUCGGAGGGUUGGGCGCCCCUCCCGGCCCCUUCAAAGCAUCGCCCCAGGUUGGCAAUGAAUUGGUCGGUCCUCCAGGUCACAUGGCAGCAACUUUACCGUUAAAAAAAAAAAAAAAAAAAAAUAGAGAGAUGAUAUUAUUAACCUUCUUGCAGGGUCAAUGCCAACACCAGCAGGAUAACAGUU